This is a long non-coding RNA of Grus americana (Whooping crane), 739 nucleotides long. RefSeq lists it as uncharacterized. The record is from RefSeq and is a predicted model, not a curated record. NCBI's taxonomy places the organism in Eukaryota, Metazoa, Chordata, Aves, Gruiformes, Gruidae. The transcript has 5 exons.
UGAUGACUUGCAAUCAAUAGUCUGUAAAACAAUAAGGUCAGCAGUGCGAAGAUUCAGAUUUUCUGUCUCUAAAUGCAAACGGCUGUGCUGGGCCAGUGAGAACAGCACCAUACCAGAAUAGAGCUUCAGAAGAAUCCUAUGGAUCAACCAGCGCUGCCUCCAGCAGCCCAACUCAAGGUCCUCCUUUAACUGUAAUGUUAUGCCCUGCCUAACUCGCUGUGACCUCAGCGAGACGGUGCGCAUUGCCCAGCAGCCAUGCUUCUGUGUUAACUUGAAGCAGCAGGACCGUGUGCUGUUGUGCUGGGCUUUGUUCCACAGAGGGAUUCAGCCACGAAGUCCAUUAGAGCAUCAGAUGCAGUGAGGUCAAAUCAAUUGUCCAUCCUGCAGACAAGGAUGGGCAAUAAUAAUUGACUGAAGCAAUCACUGCUGUGGGAAAACAAACGUCCUGGCGGUGUCGCAUCUGAAGGUCAAGCCUGAUGACAUAUUCAGUUACAGAGACUUCAGAUUCCUGCUGAAGAAGAAGUCAGAUGCCCUGCAGUACUGUAAGAGUUACCAAGCAAUUUCCCAUCUCCAGAGAACAGCAACAAAGAACCCAUUAGACUUGUCCUGGGAAGGCUGAAUGCCGUCAGCUGAAUCAUCACACCAGAAUUAUAAUAUUUUAAGAACUAUACAGAAAUAUUUUGCAUUAAAAAGAUAUGCUUAAUACCUAGUGUGUUGCUUGUUCACAGUGUGUUAUUUG